UGGUCCUUGUGUAGCUGCUCUUUCUUUCGUCCAUGCAUUGAGUGGAUGUGACACUUUGUCGAAAUGUCGUGGGAAAGGGAAAAGGUCAGCUUGACGUUCUUUUUUGGCUUAAGUAUGAAGCGAGGCACGAUGUGAAUUGUUUGCCAGGAAGCAACGGCAUUAUGAUGCAAUUCCGCCUACAAGAGGUUCUUUUCCAGAGCACAUCAAA
RNAcentral lists this long non-coding RNA (208 nucleotides) under Mytilus galloprovincialis (Mediterranean mussel). Lineage: Eukaryota; Metazoa; Mollusca; Bivalvia; Mytilida; Mytilidae. The record is from RNAcentral.